UACGUAGGGGGCAAGCGUUGUCCGGAUUUAUUGGGCGUAAAGAGCUCGUAGGUGGUUCGGUAAGUCGGAUGUGAAAUCUCCAGGCUCAACCUGGAGGGUCAUUCGAUACUGCCGUGACUAGAGGUCGGUAGGGGAGUGUGGAAUUCCUGGUGGAGCGGUGAAAUGCGCAGAUAUCAGGAGGAACACCCGUAGCGAAGGCGGCACUCUGGGCCGAUACUGACACUGAGGAGCGAAAGCGUGGGGAGCGAACAGG
RNAcentral lists this ribosomal RNA (253 nucleotides) under uncultured bacterium. RNAcentral describes it as "partial 16S ribosomal RNA". It matches the Rfam family "Bacterial small subunit ribosomal RNA", at positions 524 to 776 of the family's 1533-position model. The record is from RNAcentral.